GCUGCGUGAAGCUGAAGACCCAGAAGGAGACAGAACACAGCUGCAUGAUGGAAGAGACCUUGAAAUUGAAGAUAUUAAAGAAAUUUCCCUUGAUGCCAUAUUUAGUGAAGAUGACUUUGAUUCAGUUGGAGAUGAUUUAGACAGUGAUGGAUAUCUAUCAGAGGAGGGAAGUUGUGCAGAUAUGGGUGAAACUGAAAGUGCGAGUUAUCUAGAAGACAACAAUA
This 224-nucleotide unclassified non-coding RNA is filed under the name Hevea brasiliensis (rubber tree). The record is from RNAcentral. Lineage: Eukaryota; Viridiplantae; Streptophyta; Magnoliopsida; Malpighiales; Euphorbiaceae.